Molecule: ribosomal RNA, 253 nt
Filed under: uncultured bacterium
Lineage: Bacteria
Description: partial 16S ribosomal RNA
Rfam family: Bacterial small subunit ribosomal RNA
Source: RNAcentral
GACGAACCGAGCGAACGUUAUUCGGAAUCACUGGGCUUAAAGGGCGCGUAGGCGGGCUGACAAGUCAGGGGUGAAAUCCCGCGGCUCAACCGCGGAAGUGCCUCUGAUACUGGCGGCCUCGAGGGAGGUAGGGGCGUGCGGAACUUCCGGUGGAGCGGUGAAAUGCGUAGAUAUCAUCUGGAACGCCAAUGGUGAAGACAGCUCGCUGGGGGUGUACUGACACUGAGACACGAAAGCCAGGGGAGCGAACGGG